Molecule: small nucleolar RNA, 132 nt
Organism: Sciurus carolinensis (gray squirrel)
Lineage: Eukaryota; Metazoa; Chordata; Mammalia; Rodentia; Sciuridae
Product: small nucleolar RNA SNORA70
Exons: 1
Source: RefSeq, a predicted model, not a curated record
CUGCUGCCAAUUAAGCCUACCAUUCUCCUUUGUUCAUGAGGAACGUGAUGUGCGGUGACUGUGAACAUCAGCCUCUUCAGGAGUGUACACAGGCUGUCAUUGUCAUUACCAUAGGGAACCUCCAAGACAGAU